GGAUCGGUAGCUCAACGGGCAGAGCGUCCGGCUGAAAACCGGAAGAUCCUGGUUCGAGUCCAGGCUGUUCCA
This 72-nucleotide transfer RNA is filed under the name Planctomycetota bacterium. RNAcentral's name for it is "tRNA-Phe". It matches the Rfam family "tRNA". Rfam says of the family: Transfer RNA (tRNA) molecules are approximately 80 nucleotides in length. Their secondary structure includes four short double-helical elements and three loops (D, anti-codon, and T loops). The record is from RNAcentral. Lineage: Bacteria; Pseudomonadati; Planctomycetota.